GACGAACGCUGGCGGCGUGCUUAACACAUGCAAGUGGUGCGACGAACCAGGGCUUGCCCUGGGGCAAAGCCGCGAACGGGUGAGUAACACGUGAGUAACCGUGCCCCGAUGACCGGGACAACCCGAGGAAACUCGGGCUAAUACCGGAUGUGGCGCACAGGCAUCAGCCUGUUCGCUAAAGGAAGCUUCGGCCUCCGCAUUGGGAGGGGCUCGCGGCCCAUUAGCUUGUGGUGGGGUAACGGCCUACCAAGGCAACGAUGGGUAGCUGGUCUGAGAGGACGAUCAGCCACACUGGGACUGAGACACGGCCCAGACUCCUACGGGAGGCAGCAGUGGGGAAUCUUGCGCAAUGCGCGAAAGCGUGACGCAGCAACGCCGCGUGGGGGAAGACGGCC
This 395-nucleotide ribosomal RNA is filed under the name uncultured bacterium. RNAcentral describes it as "bacterial SSU rRNA". It matches the Rfam family "Bacterial small subunit ribosomal RNA", at positions 28 to 416 of the family's 1533-position model. The record is from RNAcentral.